GAUGAACGCUGGCGGCGUGCUUAACACAUGCAAGUCGAACGGGAACUCUAGACUGAAGGUUCGCUGGAUGUUUAGAAAUUCUAGUGGCGGACGGGUGAGUAACGCGUGGGUAACCUGCCUAUAAGACGUGAACAACAGUUAGAAAUGACUGCUAAUACACGAUAAGCACACCAGUAUCGCAUGAUACAGUGUGAAAAGAAUUUCGCUUAUAGAUGGACCCGCGUUUGAUUAGCCAGUUGGUGGGGUAACGGCCUACCAAAGCGACGAUCAAUAGCCGGCCUGAGAGGGCGACCGGCCACAUUGGGACUGAGACACGGCCCAAACUCC
This 327-nucleotide ribosomal RNA is filed under the name uncultured Lachnospiraceae bacterium. RNAcentral describes it as "bacterial SSU rRNA". It matches the Rfam family "Bacterial small subunit ribosomal RNA", at positions 28 to 339 of the family's 1533-position model. The record is from RNAcentral. Lineage: Bacteria; Bacillati; Bacillota; Clostridia; Lachnospirales; Lachnospiraceae.